UAGUCCACGCCGUAAACGAUGUCGACUUGGAGGUUGUGCCCUUGAGGCGUGGCUUCCGGAGCUAACGCGUUAAGUCGACCGCCUGGGGAGUACGGCCGCAAGGUUAAAACUCAAAUGAAUUGACGGGGGCCCGCACAAGCGGUGGAGCAUGUGGUUUAAUUCGAUGCAACGCGAAGAACCUUACCUGGUCUUGACAUCCACGGAAGUUUUCAGAGAUGAGAAUGUGCCUUCGGGAACCGUGAGACAGGUGCUGCAUGGCUGUCGUCAGCUCGUGUUGUGAAAUGUUGGGUUAAGUCCCGCAACGAGCGCAACCCUUAUCCUCUGUUGCCAGCGGUCCGGCCGGGAACUCAAAGGAGACUGCCAGUGAUAAACUGGAGGAAGGUGGGGAUGACGUCAAGUCAUCAUGGCCCUUACGACCAGGGCUACACACGUGCUACAAUGGCGCAUACAAAGAGAAGCGACCUCGCGAGAGCAAGCGGACCUCAUAAAGUGCGUCGUAGUCCGGAUUGGAGUCUGCAACUCGACUCCAUGAAGUCGGAAUCGCUAGUAAUCGUGGAUCAGAAUGCCACGGUGAAUACGUUCCCGGGCCUUGUACACACCGCCCGUCACACCAUGGGAGUGGGUUGCAAAAGAAGUAGGUAGC
RNAcentral lists this ribosomal RNA (643 nucleotides) under uncultured Gammaproteobacteria bacterium. RNAcentral's name for it is "bacterial SSU rRNA". It matches the Rfam family "Bacterial small subunit ribosomal RNA", at positions 791 to 1434 of the family's 1533-position model. Lineage: Bacteria; Pseudomonadati; Pseudomonadota; Gammaproteobacteria. The record is from RNAcentral.